CCUCCUCUCUAUCUCCUCCUCUAUCUCCUCCUCUCUAUCUCCUCCUCUAUCUCCUCCUCACCUCCUCCUCUCUAUCUCCUCCUCUCCUCCUCUCUAUCUCCCCCUCUCUAUUUCCUCCCUCUAUCUCCUCCUCUCUUCUCCUCCUCUCUAUCUCCUCUCCUUCUCUCUAUCUCCUCUUCUCCUCUAAAUCUCCUCCUCUCUAUCUCCUCCUUCUCUUCUCCUCUUUUUCUCCUCUCCUCUCUAUCUUCUCCUCUCUCCUCUAGCUCCUCCUCUCUAUCUCCUCUCCUCAUUUAUAUCUCCUCCUCUCUUUCUCCUCCUCUCUGUCUCUUUCUUUCUAUCUCCUCCUCUCUGUCUCCUUCUUUCUAUCUCAUCCUCUCUUCUCCUCCUCUCCUCUCUAUCUCCUCCUCUCCUCUCUUCAUCUCUCCUCCUCUUCUCUAUCUCCUCCUCUCCUCUCCUCUCUAUCUCCUCCUCUCUAUCUUCUCUCUAUAUCCUCUCUAUCUCCUCCUCUCCUCUCCUCCUCCUCUGUAUCUCCUCCUCUCUUCUCCUCUUUAUCUCCUCCUCUCUUCUCUCUCUUCUGACUCUCAUGUCCUAACGUAAACUUUUUUUUUUGCCCUGGAAAAACGCCAUAUAUCUCUCGACCCUCGAACGUCUCUUCUUCGACCAAGCAUGGAUUGGUAAGCAAAAUGCAUAAAAAAAAUACUAAGAAAAGAAAAGGCGGGAAAGUAGGCGUCGACCAGUAAUCUACCUCUGGAUAAUCUGUGAUCCGGCAUGCCUUCUCUCCCAUCCUUGGAAAUCACCCCCUCUGCUGAUAAGCUAAUGCAAAAAUGUCUGCUCGUCAUUUGCUAGCAAGGGCGUAGCAUCCUUUCACCCCCACCCCCACCCUCGCACCCGCCCAGACCUGCUUACGCUAGCGCUAAGCAUUAAUUGACACAGCUUGAUUGCAGAGUACAUGGCAACACUUAAUACAAUGUUGAUCAGCCGGGGUCCAAUAAAUAGACAAUGAUUGUAUGAUCUCGCUGGGCCGAAAUUAGCACCGCUGCCCCACCAUUUAUUAGCAUGGGAAAUGUCACCCAGGUGCAAUCAUGUUAGCGGCGCCCGCUAAAUCUCUGAAUAAUGAAUAGUGUUUUUUUGGAAGAACUCAACUCUUUUGAAGUUGAACAAUGCACGUGUUUUGAUUACGAUCCAAAUCAUUUUGUGUUUUAUAUUUUAUUUUUCGUUGAUUAUUAUUUUCAGUGAUUUUCUUUCCCAAACUAUUAAGAUCAAUGACACAAUCGUUGGGGAUAUAAUUAGUUUAAUCAUGAUUAGGAAAUAAGGUCUUAGGCUGGGGGGAGGACAUAGAAUAGCAGCACAGCAAUCACAACGCCUACACAUAUCGUGUUUAAACACCACCUCAUGGUGGGCUUGCAAUGCUUCCGAGUGCGCUUAGCUAACGCUGACACUACCUCAGUAGUUAACAUAGUUUCCUUGUAAAAUGGAUUCCUUUCCUCUAUUCAUAAUCAGUGUCAGUACACACUGAAACCCUCUGUGUGUUCUUGUGUGUCCGUCUCCUAAUAGUAGUUAGACCCUUUUGUGUUUGUGUGCUUGUAUGUCCAUAUGCUUUUCUGUGCAUUUUCAAAGAAUCUGCAAUGUAUCUGCAUGCGCGCUAUUGGUGUGGUAAUUGUGUGUACAUACCUUGUGUAUUUUUGUGUGUCUUGUGUAUCUGUGUGUGAGUGUGUGUGUGUUUCUGUGUGUGUGUCUGUGCAUUGCCACGGAAUGCGUGUACUCAUUCACGUGUGUUUGUGUGUGUGCCUGUGUGUAUGUACAUGAAUGUGUUCAUUUAUAUGCGGUUGUGCAUGUGGAUGUAUGCGUCUGUGUAUGUGUGUGUGUAUCUGUGAUCCGUAUAUGCGUGUGUGUGUAUGUAUGAAUGUGUGUGCGCGUGUGUGUGCAUGUGUGGGUAUGCGUGCAUGUGCGCGUAUAUAUGCGUGCGUGUGUAUGUAUGAAUGUGUGUGUGCAUGUGUGUGUAUGCGUGUGUGUGCUUAUGCGUGCAUGUGCGCGUAUAUAUGCGUGCGUGCGUGCGUAUGUAUGGAUUUGUGCGUGCGUAUGCGUAUGUAUGUGUGUAUGCAUGUGUAUGUGUGUGUGUGCCGGUGUAUGGAUGUGUGUGCCACCACACCUGCCCCCCCAGGUGCGUCUCGCCCGCCAGGCGGCGGAGAUGGAGCUUAAGGUCCCGUUCGCUGACGAGCUGCCGUCCCGCGGCGCCCAGCUGGCCGCCCUGAGGGACACUGAGGAGUUUGACGUCCUCAUCGUCGGGGGUGGGGCCACGGGGGCCGGCUGCGCCCUGGAGGCCGUCACACGCAACCUGAAGACGGCGCUGGUGGAGAGGAACGACUACUCGUCCGGGACCAGCAGCCGGAGCACCAAGCUGAUCCACGGCGGAGUGCGCUACCUGCAGAAGGCCAUCAUGAAACUGGACUACGAGCAGUACAUGAUGGUGAAGGAGGCCCUCCAUGAACGUGCCAACCUGUUGGAAAUUGCUCCUCACCUAUCGGCGCCAUUACCCAUUAUGCUCCCUGUCUACAAAUGGUGGCAGCUGCCGUACUACUGGGCAGGCAUCAAGAUGUACGACCUGGUGGCCGGCAUGGAGUGCCUGAAGAGCAGCUACGUGCUCAGCAAGACGAAAGCCCUGGAGCUCUUCCCCAUGCUGAAGAAGGACCGGCUGGUCGGGGCCAUCGUCUACUACGACGGUCAGCACAACGACGCGCGCAUGAACCUAGCGAUCGGCCUCACCGCGGCUCGCUACGGUGCCGCCAUGGCUAACUACACGGAGGUGGUUAACCUGCUGAAGAGGGCCGACCCUGAGACGGGCGUUGAGAAGGUCUGCGGCGCACGCUGCCGCGACGUGCUCACGGGUCAGGAGUUUGACGUGCGAGCCAAGUGUGUGAUCAACGCCACUGGGCCCUUCACCGACUCACUGCGGAAGAUGGACGACCAGAAGACCGCCAACAUCUGCCAGCCUAGCGCCGGGGUGCACAUCGUCAUUCCCGGCUACUACAGUCCGGACAACAUGGGUCUCCUGGACCCCGCCACCAGCGACGGCCGCGUCAUCUUCUUCCUGCCCUGGGAGAAGAUGACCAUCGCUGGGACCACCGACUCCCCCACAAACGUCACAGCCCACCCCAUUCCCACCGAGGACGACAUCACCUUCAUCCUCAACGAGGUCCGCAACUACCUCAGCCCCGACGUGGAAGUACGUCGUGGGGACGUGCUGGCAGCCUGGAGUGGGAUCCGGCCCCUGGUGACGGACCCCAACUCUAAAGACACCCAGUCCAUCUGCAGGAACCACAUCGUCAACGUCAGCCAGAGUGGCAUGGUCACCAUCGCUGGGGGAAAGUGGACUACGUACCGCUCCAUGGCGGAGGAGACGCUGGAUGCGGCCAUCCUGACCCACGGCCUGGAGGCGUCAGCCAGCAAGACCGUGGGUCUGGUCCUGGAGGGGGGCCGCGACUGGUCGCCCACCCUCUACAUCCGCCUGGUGCAGGACUACGGCCUGGAGAACGAGGUGGCCCAGCAUUUGGCGUCGACAUAUGGCGGGAAGGCGUUCGAAGUGGCCAAAAUGGCGCAGGUCACCGGCAAGAGAUGGCCCAUCGUCGGCAAAAGGCUGGUGUCCGAGUUCCCCUACAUCGAGGGCGAGGUGCUGUACGCCAUCAAGGAGUAUGCCUGCACGGCCAUUGACGUCAUCGCCCGGCGCACGCGGCUGGGCUUCCUCAAUGUCCAGGCAGCCGACGAGGCCCUGCCGCGCAUCGUGGAGCUAAUGGGCAAGGCGCUCAACUGGACCAGCGACCGGAAAACCGAUGAGUUGGAGGAAGCCAGGAAGUUCCUGUACUAUGAGAUGGGCUACAGGACUCGGUCAGAACAACUCACGAAGACCUCUGAGAUCAAUCUGGACUACCAGGAAGUAGUCAGGUACAAAAACCGCUUCCACAAGUUUGACAAGGAGAGCAAAGGAUUCAUCACAACGGUGGACGUACAGAGCGUGCUGCAGAGCAUCAACAUUCAGAUCGAUGAGAACUCCCUGCAUGAGAUCCUCAGCGAGGUGGACCUCAACAAGAACGGACAGGUGGAGAUCGACGAGUUCCUGCAGUUGAUGAGUGCGGUGAAGAAGGGCCAGGUGUCUGACAGCCGUCUGGCCAUCCUGCUGAAGACGGCUGAGGAGAGUUUGGACUUGAGGGCGCCCGUGUCCGUAGACCGCAGCGGGGGCGGAGUCUAAUCGGACCACGCCCACUCCCUAGACCACACCCACCUUCCUUUCCCCCGCCCUAACCCCUCCCAACCAGAACAGGAUUUCUGUAAUGCCAAAAAAAAGAAGAAAAAAAAAUCUUGUCGUUUUUGUCAACGCGAGAAAGAAAACUACAACGACAACAAGAAGAAGCUGCUCAUUGUUCCGUGGGUCCUGGCCGGUCCAUCCGUCUGAGGCCAGAAUAGCUUUUAUGAGCGUGGAGGUGAAGAGGCGACAGGGAGGAAAAGAACCCGAUCCUAAUCUCCCCUCCGCCUCACUCCUGUUCUGUUCUCUUCACACCGACACUCUAACACACACCACACACCAAAACACACCACACACUGACACACACCACACAUCGACACACACACUGACACACACCACAAGCCGACACACACCACAUAAUGACACACACCAACAUGCUUCACACACGACACACACCACAAGCAAACACACACGUCACCAACUGACGCACACCACAUACGAUACACACAACACAUCAACACACACUGACGCACAGCACACACCGACACAAGCAACACACGAUACAUACCAUAAGCCAACACACACACCGACACAAGACACACCGUCACACACCGACGCACACCACACACCAACGCACAACACACGACACAAACCGGCGCACACCACACACUGACACACACCACACACAACACACACUGUCACACAGACCGUCACACACUGACACACACGUCACACACCACCACCGACACCAAACACCGUCACACACAGACACACACGUCACAGUCACACAGUCACACAACGACGCACACCACACACCAACGCACACCACACACACCACAAGCCGACACUCCGACGCAAACCACACACCGACGCACACGACACACACACCACACACGAUGCACACCACACACCGUCACACACCACACACGACACACACUGUCACACACGACACACACCAACACACACCACAAGCCGACAUGAUAUAUAUAGGUAUAUAUAUAACGAUUUAUAUAGUGAUAUAUAUAUAUAUAUAUAACCAUAUAUAUGAGAUGAUGAUGAGAUGAGAUUAAACUUUAUCCAAAGUUUUUAGCAAAAUGAGAUGCAAUUGACAUCCCACCAGAAGUGCAAAAGAAGCAUUAAAGGACAAUUCCGGUAUUUUGAACAUUGAGCCCCCUUUCUGGUUUGUUUAGGAUGAAAUAGAGUGGGUGACACCGAAAUUUGAACUAUUAGUUCUUUCUCGGGUAUUUGGCUCAUUUUGAAUCGCUCCUGCCUGCUUCACAAUGGUUGUCUGUGUGCAUACACAAACCUGUCUACCCAGCAACCCUAAACGUUCGUUUUCAAAAAUGUGCAAGUAACCGAGUGGUUAGUGGCAUUCGUGAAGUUGAAAAAAAAAAUAUCGGUGCAAUAUAUGGUUUCUGUCGUGUUUUAUUGCACAUUUAUCGCCAGUUGAUUUCAGUUGGAAGACUCAUUACUGCACGUUGAUAUUACUCCGCCGAACCGGAAAGGUGGGCUGUUUACGUUGGUUUGAAGUCUUGUACCGUGAGCACCUCGGAUUAGGGAAAAUCACAGAGAAAAUCACUGAAAAUGGAUUAUGAAAGGUGGCUUCUGGAGGACGCACCUGAUUUUGAGUUUGACGGCAGCGGAUAUAGUUUUGAACCAGAAUUCACCCAAGAGGAGCUACGUGAGAUGGAGGCUAGGGCUACGGAGGCACCUGAAGCUCCGGCUGAAGCGGUCCCCAGGAUCACGGGAAAUUGGUGGUGUGCCUGUGGGAAGUUCAGGCAGAUGCCGACGGAAGUCGAAAGUAGGUGCUGCACGGAGUGGGACCUUUUGCGGAAGUUUAUAUGCGGUUGUGAGGUAUCUGAAAAAAUAGUUCCAAUUAGCAACUAACACGGAUGGAAACCAUAUAUUGCGCCGAUAUAUAUUUUUUAAACUUCACGAAUGCCACUAACCACUCGGUUACUUGCACAUUUUUGAAAACGAACGUUUAGGGUUGCUGGGUUGACAGGUUUGUGUAUGCACACAGACAACCAUUGUGAAGCAGGCAGGAGCGAUUCAAAAUGAGCCAAAUACCCGAGAAAGGACAAAUUUCGGUGUCACCCACUCUAUUUCAUCCUAAACAAAUCAGAAAGGGGGCUCAAUGGUCAAAAUACCGGAAUUGUCCUUUAAAUACCAAAAUACAGGUUGAGUACAGUAUUCUUGGGCAGUAAAAGACAAUAUAUACAGUAUAUAACAUAUAGAUAAUGAUAUACAUAACGAUAUAUAUUUAUGACGAUAUAUAUUGAUAUAAAUGACAAUAUAUAUAUAACGAUAAAUAUAAUGAUAUGUAUCACGAUAUGUAUUAAUAUAUAUAACUAUAUAUUUAAUCAUAUAUAACGAUAAGGAACACAUCCUCAGACGUCAGACAGAAAAUACAUAAAUCCAACGCUGCAAGGUCAUUACUAUUUUAAGAAUGGGCUCACACACUCACACCAAACGCCAGACUGGGAAAUGCUGGACAAUAGGUUGGGAAAUGGGAUAGAGAUCUCAGUGAACAAGCCGUCGUCGCCUGGGUAAAGGUCACGGCGUGGUGUUGAAUUACACUCAGCUACAGAACCUGUCGCCGGCGGAGACGGGAGAGAAUAGGGGGGGGAUGGGCGGAAGGAGGAGGGAUGCAAUUAAUUGUAAAUGAGUAUGAUGGGACAAAUCUGCCGUAUGAGAGCUAAUUCUCUUAUUCUCGGUUGGAUUAGGGUCUUGAGCCCUGGUGGAGGUGGAUGGUGUGGUGUUGGGGGAGGAGGUGGAGAAAGAGGUGGUGGUGGAGGUGGUGAUGGUGGAGGAUGUGGUGGAGGAGGUGGUGGUGGUGGAGGUGGUUGUGGGGCUGGUGGUGCUGGAGGUGGUGCUGGAGGAGGUUGUGGUGGAGAUGGUGGUGGAGCUGGAGGUGGUUGAGGUGGUGGUUGAGGUGGUGGUGGAGUUGGAGGUUGUGAACUAUGGAAUAUUGAUAGAGUUAAUCAGCUGUUAAUAGAAGGAAGACGUGCACAGAAUAACUGAUUAAGAUCAAGAUAUUAUGUUGGUAAACAACACUUACAUUCUGUCCGCAUCGGCAGAUUCAAACAUGAAUACACGCAUCACGUUGACAAAUGUCCCGAUAACAGGAAGUGUGCGGGAUAAUCAUCUAAAAAUAGACCUAGGGAUAAAUGGAAGAAACUCCUAAAAAACUAAUUUGCACACAUCAUCCAACAAAGCCAUGGAUAAUGGUUGGAGAGUUGCACGUUGCCAGGCCUGGUCCCAGUGCAUGUAUUGCUAAGCGGCGUGAUGGCUCAGUACCCAUCGAGCUGCACAAAGGGAUUAGAACCCCCAACCGCCCUUGUGUCGAUGACGGAAUAAACAUGCUGUCUGUGGUGUUUAUCCGGCGCACUAUCUUGACUAUUUCAGUGUUUCAUCAAAGACGCGUUAAUUAUUUGGGAGGUGAAGAAACGUCAACAAGCAAAUCCACCCCCUCAAGGUUCUGGAUAGCUCCCCCGUGGAGGGUUAGUCAAUAGAUGCACGCAGUAAUUAAGAUAAUAACGUUAAAAAACACACAAGGAAAUAUCAUGCCAUCGCUCUCUCCCAUCUUUCCAGUCACCAACGGCCUCGUAAUUAUGAUGAUGCUUUGAUUGGCUUUAAUUAGCACCGUGAGUUAAGGGUAUGGCUAAGAGCGGUGGGAUUCAAUGGGCUUCAUAACGAUUACUGGAUCCAGGAGGCAUCUGUCUGUCUGAUGAACAACCUCAAAGCACAGCGACAUAAUUAACCGUAAACGUGACAUGAAUCAUCCGCUCGGAUCCGCUUGAAGUAAAACUGAAAGUUUGAAACAUGGAUUGAUGAGCGGAAGAGAGCGGUAAGGGGCAAUGGAGAAUGAGAAGGAGAUACAGGCCUUCCAUAGGCGAAGGAGACGAGGAGAGGCUGGUAAAUCAAUGCAGAAGAGUUAUUGUAGGUCUAUGGAGUGGAUCAGAGACCUUUCAUACCCGAUAAGCCUGCGCUUCGGUCGUCACCACGGCAACCACGUGGUCUGGAGUCUUGAGUCUAUCGCAUGAGGAAUACAAAGUGAAUUGAUUUGA
This is an RNA transcript of Gadus macrocephalus (Pacific cod), 8307 nucleotides long. It is a transcript of the gene named glycerol-3-phosphate dehydrogenase 2 (mitochondrial), with no coding region annotated. The record is from RefSeq and is a predicted model, not a curated record. The transcript is spliced from 16 exons. Lineage: Eukaryota; Metazoa; Chordata; Actinopteri; Gadiformes; Gadidae.